This 290-nucleotide unclassified non-coding RNA is filed under the name Hevea brasiliensis (rubber tree). Lineage: Eukaryota; Viridiplantae; Streptophyta; Magnoliopsida; Malpighiales; Euphorbiaceae. The record is from RNAcentral.
CAAUCACAGUAUUGCCUGGAAUUGUCGAAGCUGAUGUAUCUGCUAAAUCAGGCCGGGAAAAGGCAAUAGACUGCCCAGCAUUUAGCUGAGCCUUUCCUCCUGGAAUGACCUUUCUCUCCUCUCCUACAUUCGAGCCAUCAUUUCCACCAGUUUUCCCUUCUUCAGAAACGUGGUAAUUCUUCUUCUGAUGUGCUGCUUGGGCAACUGCAGUAGCUGCAAUGAAGUGAAACCCAUGCCUUGCCGCCUCUGGGACACUUUGCAAAAAAAGCAUGAUUUUGUGCAAUUGAUGA